RNAcentral lists this ribosomal RNA (298 nucleotides) under Thrassis pandorae pandorae. RNAcentral's name for it is "partial 12S ribosomal RNA". The record is from RNAcentral. Lineage: Eukaryota; Metazoa; Arthropoda; Insecta; Siphonaptera; Ceratophyllidae.
AUGCUAAGGUAGUAACAGAUAUAUACUUGAAACUUAAAGAAUUUGGCGGUAUUUUAAUCUUUUCAGAGGAACCUGUUCUAUAAUCGAUAAUCCACGUUAAAUUUUACUAAAUUGUUUGUAUAUCGUUGUCGAAAGAAUAAAUUUUCUAAUAUUUUAAAGAAAAUAGAUGUCAAAUCAAGGUGUAGCUAAUAAUUUAGUAGAAAUGGGUUACAAUAAAUUUAUUUAGGAAAUUAUUAAAGGAGGAUUUGAAAGUAAAUUAAUUUUAAUAAAUUUAAUUGAUUAUAGUUCUAAAAUAUGU